GCGAUUGAUUUCGUGACCGGUACAUAAGACAUUUACUUUGAGGAAAUUAGAGUGUUUCAGGCAGGCUUGCGCCUUGAAUAUAUUAGCAUGGAAUAAUAAUAUAAGACCAGCGUCUAAUUAUUGGUUUUUGGAUGCUGGUAAUGAUUAAUAGGGAUAAUUGGGGGCAUUUGUAUUAACGCGUCAGAGGUGGAAUUCUUGGAUUGCGUUACGACAAACUAAUGCGAAAGCAUUUGCCAAGGAUGUUUUCAUUGAUCAAGAACGAAAGUGUGGGGAUCGAAGACGAUUAGAUACCGUCGUAGUCUACACCAUAAACUAUGCCACCUAGAGAUUGGGCGUCGUUAUUUACAAGACUCGCUCAGCACCUUAUGAGAAAUCAAAGUUUUUGGGUUCCGGGGGGAGUCUGGUCGCAAGGCUGAAACUUAAAGGAAUUGACGGAAGGGCACCACCAGGAGU
Molecule: ribosomal RNA, 453 nt
Filed under: uncultured eukaryote
Lineage: Eukaryota
Description: SSU rRNA
Rfam family: Eukaryotic small subunit ribosomal RNA
Source: RNAcentral